Branchiostoma belcheri (Belcher's lancelet) is the source of this 379-nucleotide long non-coding RNA. RefSeq lists it as uncharacterized. Lineage: Eukaryota; Metazoa; Chordata; Leptocardii; Amphioxiformes; Branchiostomatidae. The record is from RefSeq and is a predicted model, not a curated record. The transcript is spliced from 3 exons.
UUGACCUUCGGACCUACUACGAACUUUACAGGAAGUGAUCUUGUGUCGCCACGUUUCAGCAACAUUUUGGGCAGAGGUGCGACUAAAAAGCGGUGCUGUGGUACGUGUUAUACGGACCGGUGAGGGAUAUGGCCUGGUUCGUCAACAAAGCUUGGCAGUGGUUGACAGGAAACAAUGAUGAUGGCGAUGAACACACAGGGCACCACGAAUAUCGAGGAAGUUUCCACUAUGCUGAGCCAGAAAGGUAUACAGAUGAAGGGCAGCUGUGGAGGGACCACAGGAAGAAAGUUACACUCGACAGCGAAGAAACAAAGCACGCAAAAGAGUUGGUAAGAGUAUUCAUUGGAGCUAUCGUCGAUACUGUCAAAGAACAGAUCGA